Molecule: transfer RNA, 68 nt
Filed under: Argas lagenoplastis
Lineage: Eukaryota; Metazoa; Arthropoda; Arachnida; Ixodida; Argasidae
Description: tRNA-Gln
Source: RNAcentral
UAAUCUUUGGUGUUAAUGGCACGUUAAAUUUUGAUUUUAAAGGGAACAAUUCAGUUUGUUAAGGUUAU